AUAGAGCAAAGCAAAACAAUAGAGGUCAAUCUGAAGUUAACUUAGAAAUACUUGACUAGUUGGAGUCUUUAUAGAACACAACACGAUAUGCUUGAGAUUAAAAUGUGAAGUAAAAAACUAAAGACGUACAUUCAAACACGACAUGCCUGAAUAGAGAGCAUACAUUGACAAUACACACAUAUUAUUGAGAAACUAAAUAAUUAUUCUAUGCUUGAUCACCUCCAAAAUGCUGAAAUAUAUGUUCAACCAAGUCUGCUUUGAGACGACGAUGCAUAUCUCGAUUCCGAAUAUCUUCUUCUAUCUCUAGAGCUCUAGCAAACCCAUGAAUUGGCCCAUGUCCAUAAUUUAACAGUGGCGUGGAGGUACCAUUGUCAUAGUCAUACUCGUAGUCAUCAUCAUAGAGAACUCUAAAAGUAUCCCUUUCAUCCUCCACAAUCAUGUUGUGUAAUAUAAUACAUGCAUACAUAAUCUCAGCGAGUGAUUGCACUUGCCACAUAGAGCUGGGCUUCUUAGAAUGGCAAAGCGAGCUUGCAAAACACCAAAUGCACGCUCGACAUCUUUUCUUGCUCCCUCUUGACGUUCUGCAAAUAUUUUGUCUUUGCUGCAUUGAGAACAAACAAGUUAAUACAUUGAUAGUAGCACAUUGAUACAUGAUCUGAUUCACAGGAGCAGUACAACAAUACUCAUUUAAUUUAGAGAGGUAGUACAAGUGAACUAGUCAAAGAAAAAAGAAAAUAUUUCAACUAAAAAACUGAGUAGCUAAGUAAGUCAGCACCUCUUCAUGUCGUGCCUUGGUAACUUCAUCAUAGCCUGUAGUGUCUUUAUAUAGCAACGCCAUGUACUUAUCCAUCAUCUGCAGCUUUGUCUUUCCCUUCUCAGCAUUUGCCAUUUUAUUAUCAGCUUCAGCUUUGGCUUGUGCAGCUUGUGCUUUGGCAAGGGUUGCUUCAGCCAUUUUUUCAGCAGCAAUAGCUUUUCUUAAUUGAAGUUCAUUGAAAAGGCUCACAUUUUCAUUUGAAAUAGUGUCUUCUGAAUAUACUGACUUGCCCUUUCCUUUUUGUUGAGCUUUGGAUGUAUUUCGCCCUGGUGGUCAGCACCCGGCUGCAGGGUCUGCAUCUUCGCUGUCUUGAUUUGAAGAAGAAUAAGCUCCUGAUGCAUUCAGCCUGCUUCUCUUGUUCAUCAUUUCUUCAAUUGGUACCUAUCUCCCCUUCUAUCAACUCCUUGAAUUGGAUCAUUAGAACACUUCAACCAAGCACUAACCUAAGGUUUUCCUCCUCUCCCCAAUUCACACGCCCUUCUUUCUUUUGACUUUCGUCAGGGCUGCUAUCACUCCUCUCACUCCAAUCUGCAGGGUUAGCAGGAUCUUCUUGUUGAAGUUGCUCUUGGGACACCGGAGAAGCUGAACCAACAGGGCUGCUCUCAUCAGCUCGUGAAGCACUAAUCGAUGAAUAGUUGCCGCACAGUGGUCGCUAGCGCUUGGUUCAUUGCUAGCUUGCACACUCACCGAUGCUGCUCACUCUCAAGUGCGCCCUUCCCAAGCGCCUGCUGCUCUCCUCUCUCUCCUCCAAAUCGCUGGCCCAAAUCGUCAGACCGCUAGAGACGCCCUAAGUGUUUUCGGAUGUGGGGCAAUUACAUGUGGAUCAUUUGAAUUUACAUGCUUGCAUGGCUUGUUUGGGAUGCGUGCAGGAAAUAGAUUCGGUCCGUUUAAAUGGUAAGGGAUAAUAUUCUUUUUGGUCA
This is a long non-coding RNA of Panicum virgatum (switchgrass), 1734 nucleotides long. RefSeq lists it as uncharacterized. The transcript has 2 exons. Lineage: Eukaryota; Viridiplantae; Streptophyta; Magnoliopsida; Poales; Poaceae. The record is from RefSeq and is a predicted model, not a curated record.